Molecule: ribosomal RNA, 450 nt
Filed under: uncultured bacterium
Lineage: Bacteria
Description: bacterial SSU rRNA
Rfam family: Bacterial small subunit ribosomal RNA
Source: RNAcentral
GUGGGGAAUAUUGGACAAUGGGCGAAAGCCUGAUCCAGCCAUGCCGCGAGUGUGAAGAAGGUCUUCGGAUUGUAAAGCACUUUAAGUUGGGAGGAAGGGCAGUAAGUUAAUACCUUGCUGUUUUGACGUUACCGACAGAAUAAGCACCGGCUAACUUCGUGCCAGCAGCCGCGCUAAUACGAAGGGUGCAAGCGUUAAUCGGAAUUACUGGGCGUAAAGCGCGCGUAGGUGGUUUUGUAAGUUGUAGGUGAAAUCCCCGGGAUCAACCUGGGAACUGCCUCCAAAACUGCAUGACUAGAGUACGGUAGAUGGUAGUGGAAUUUCCUGUGUAGCGGUGAAAUGCGUAGAUAUAGGUGGGAACCCCAGUGGCGAAGGCGACUACCUGGACUGAUACUGACUCUGAAGUGCAAAAGCGUGGGGAUCAAACAGGAUUAGAUACCCGUGUAGUCC